This 253-nucleotide ribosomal RNA is filed under the name uncultured bacterium. RNAcentral describes it as "partial 16S ribosomal RNA". It matches the Rfam family "Bacterial small subunit ribosomal RNA", at positions 524 to 776 of the family's 1533-position model. The record is from RNAcentral.
UACGGUUGGGGCAAGCGUUGUUCGGAAUUACUGGGCGUAAAGGGCUCGUAGGUGGCCAACUAAGUCAGACGUGAAAUCCCUCGGCUUAACCGGGGAACUGCGUCUGAUACUGGAUGGCUUGAGUUCGGGAGAGGGAUGCGGAAUUCCAGGUGUAGCGGUGAAAUGCGUAGAUAUCUGGAGGAACACCGGUGGCGAAGGCGGCAUCCUGGACCGGCAUUGACGCUGAGGAGCGAAAGCUAGGGGAGCAAACGGG